ACUGCUCUGCCCUGAAGGAAAUACCAAGACCGUUUGCAAGUACAGUAGAGCUGCUGGUCGGUUAUUUCUUAUGAGGGUCAUGGAUAUCCCCUAUCUAAACUUGGAAGGACCAGACUUGCAGCCUAAACGUGAUCAUGUUCUCCAUGUGACAUUCCCCAAAGAAUGGAAAACCAGCGACCUUUACCAGCUUUUCAGUGCCUUUGGUAACAUUCAGAUAUCCUGGAUUGAUGACACAUCAGCAUUUGUUUCCCUUAGCCAGCCCGAGCAAGUAAAGAUUGCUGUCAAUACCAGCAAAUAUGCAGAAAGCUAUCGGAUCCAAACCUAUGCUGAAUAUAUGGGGAGAAAACAGGAAGAGAAGCAGAUCAAAAGAAAGUGGACUGAAGAUAGCUGGAAGGAGGCUGACAGCAAACGGUUAAACCCCCAGUGCAUACCCUACACCCUGCAGAAUCACUAUUACCGCAACAAUAG
RNAcentral lists this unclassified non-coding RNA (468 nucleotides) under Homo sapiens (human). RNAcentral's name for it is "poly(A)-specific ribonuclease (ENSG00000274829.4)". The record is from RNAcentral. Lineage: Eukaryota; Metazoa; Chordata; Mammalia; Primates; Hominidae.